UNGCCAAGUCCAGUAUGAGAAACCUGCCUUC
Molecule: non-coding RNA, 31 nt
Filed under: Homo sapiens (human)
Lineage: Eukaryota; Metazoa; Chordata; Mammalia; Primates; Hominidae
Source: RNAcentral